RNAcentral lists this ribosomal RNA (471 nucleotides) under Desulfovibrio sp. BBD-16. RNAcentral's name for it is "bacterial SSU rRNA". It matches the Rfam family "Bacterial small subunit ribosomal RNA", at positions 100 to 564 of the family's 1533-position model. The record is from RNAcentral. Lineage: Bacteria; Pseudomonadati; Thermodesulfobacteriota; Desulfovibrionia; Desulfovibrionales; Desulfovibrionaceae.
GCACGGGUGAGUAACGCGUGGAUUAUCUACCUACUGGUACGGGACAACAGUUGGAAACGACUGCUAAUACCGUAUACGCUGGUAACGGGAAAGGGGGCCUCUUCUUGAAAGCUCUCGCCAGUAGAUGAGUCCGCGUUUCAUUAGCUAGACGGUGGGGUAACGGCCUACCGUGGCAACGAUGAAUAGCAGGCCUGANAGGGUGGCCUGCCACACUGGGACUGGAACACGGCCCAGACUCCUACGGGAGGCAGCACUGGGGAAUAUUGCGCAAUGGACGAAAGUCUGACGCAGCGACGCCGCGUGGAGGAUGAAGGUUUUCGGAUCGUAAACUCCUGUCAAGAGGGAAGAAACCUAUCAUGAAUAAUACUCAUGGUAAUNGACGGGCCUCUAGAGGAAGCACCGGCUAAUUCAGUGCCANCAGCCGCGGUAAUACUGAAGGUGCAAGCGUUAAUCGGAAUCACUGGNCGUAAA